RNAcentral lists this ribosomal RNA (1410 nucleotides) under uncultured Clostridium sp. Its description in RNAcentral is "partial 16S ribosomal RNA". It matches the Rfam family "Bacterial small subunit ribosomal RNA". The record is from RNAcentral. Lineage: Bacteria; Bacillati; Bacillota; Clostridia; Eubacteriales; Clostridiaceae.
GGGCCGGCUUAAUCCCGGCGCCAUGGCGCCAUCGGGGAUGCGAUUUCGGAUGUCGUGUCCGAUUUCCGUAUAGUGGGUCCUUAUAUAACCUUCCUUUCCUGGGUUUUAGCCCAGAGAAAUUUGGAUUAAUACCCCGUAACAUAUAGAAGUGGCAUCACUUUUAUAUUAUAGCUCCGGCGCUUAAAGAUGGGUGUGCGGCUGAUUAGAUAGUUGGCGGUGUAACGGCCCACCAAGUCGACGAUCAGUAACUGGUGUGAGAGCACGACCAGUCACACGGGCACUGAGACACGGGCCCGACUCCUACGGGAGUGGAAUAUGCACAUUGGGGAAAUCCUGAUGCAGCAACGCCGCGUGAGUGAUGAAGGUCUUCGGAAUAGUAAAACUCUGUCUUUGGGGACGAUAAUGACGGUACCCAAGGAGGAAGCCACGGCUAACUACGUGCCAGCAGCCGCGGUAAUACGUAGGUGGCAAGCGUUGUCCGGAUUUACUGGGCGUAAAGGGAGCGUAGGUGGAUAUUUAAGUGGGAUGUGAAAUACUCGGGCUUAACCUGAGUUCUCAAAGCAACUGGAUAUCUAGAGUGCAGGAGAGGAAAGUGGAAUUUCUUUGUGAGCGGUGAAAUGCGUAGAUAUUAGGAAGAACACCAGUGGCGAAGGCGACUUUCAGGAGAGCUUUCCAGGACCUGUAACUGGACUCUGAGGCUCGAAGCGUGGGGAGCGAACAGGAUUAGAUACCUGUAGUCACGCGUAAACGAUGAAUACUAGGUGUAGGAGCUGUCAUGGCUUCUGUGCCGCCGCUAACGCAUUAAGUAUUCCGCCUGGGGAGUACGGUCGCAAGAUUAAAACUCAAAGGAAUUGACGGGGGCCCGCACAAGCAGCGGAGCAUGUGGUUUAAUUCGAAGCAACGCGAAGAACCUUACCUAGACUUGACAUCUCCUGAAUUACUCUUAAUCGAGGAAGUCACUUCGGUGACAGGAAGACAGGUGGUGCAUGGUUGUCGUCAGCUCGUGUCGUGAGAUGUUGGGUUAAGUCCCGCAACGAGCGCAACCCUUAUUGUUAGUUGCUACCAUUUAGUUGAGCACUCUAGCGAGACUGCCGUGGUUAACGCGGAGGAAGGUGGGGAUGACGUCAAAUCAUCAUGCCCCUUAUGUCUAGGGCUACACACGUGCUACAAUGGCUGGUACAAAGAGAUGCAAUACCGUGAGGUGGAGCUAAACUAUAAAACCAGUCUCAGUUCGGAUUGUAGGCUGAAACUCGCCUACAUGAAGCUGGAGUUGCUAGUAAUCGCGAAUCAGAAUGUCGCGGUGAAUACGUUCCCGGGCCUUGUACACACCGCCCGUCACACCAUGAGAGUUGGCAAUACCCAAAGUUCGUGAGCUAACCCGUAAGGGAGGCAGCGACCCUAAGGUUGGUA